CGCGUGGGGGAGGGGUUCUUGGAUUGUAAACCCCUUUUCUCAGGGAAGAAAAAAAUGACGGUACCUGAGGAAUCAGCAUCGGCUAACUCCGUGCCAGCAGCCGCGGUAAUACGGAGGAUGCAAGCGUUAUCCGGAAUAAUUGGGCGUAAAGCGUCCGUAGGUGGCUGUUCAAGUCUGCCGUUAAAGACCGGGGCUUAACCCUGGAAAGGCGGUGGAAACUGAACGGCUAGAGUGCAGUAGGGGUAGAGGGAAUUCCCAGUGUAGCGGUGAAAUGCGUAGAGAUUGGGAAGAACACCGGUGGCGAAAGCGCUCUGCUGGACUGCAACUGACACUGAGGGACGAAAGCUAGGGGAGCGAAUGGGAUUAGAUACCCCAUCC
Molecule: ribosomal RNA, 378 nt
Filed under: Funiculus sociatus PJ S24
Lineage: Bacteria; Bacillati; Cyanobacteriota; Cyanophyceae; Coleofasciculales; Coleofasciculaceae
Description: bacterial SSU rRNA
Rfam family: Bacterial small subunit ribosomal RNA
Source: RNAcentral